CUAAAGCACUUGUGAUCAGUCCUCUCAGAAUGGAUGUUAACACCGGGUCUGAAUAGCGCCUGCUUUUAAUUGGAUUUUAAGUUGUAAGUUGACCUGAGUCAGGCUUCAUGAUGUGUAAGAUAUAGACUGAUAAUUCACAAAAACUGUAUUCUUGUGUUUUAAGCUGCUGACAAAGCUGGCUCAAGUCUGCGAGACCUUGAAACUCAAGUGGUAAACUGUGGGAGCGUUUCUGAUUCGGACAACAUUUGCACUUAUGCCGUUAACCUUCAAGAGGGGGAUCAGGGCAGCCCUCUGCUCUGUAAAUCAGACUCCUCUUGGUUCCAGGCGGCCUUUGUCACAAUGAGUGGGAAUAAAUCGGUGCGGGCAGAUAUUCAGUCAUUUGCCAAAACCUCAAGAUUCGGGUCAUUCUUAAAGGAGACAGUUGGUGAUUUGCCAUCUCCUGAAACGUCCCCAACAGCAAAUGCAGCAGAAAAAGCCUUUUCCUUGUUCUUUAGUUUUGCUGUCCUUAUUACCUCCAUGUUCCUGUUGUAAUGAUAUGGUAUUAGUUGAAGCUGCGUGAAAUAGUCCAAUACUAUGAACGCACUUACAAUACUCAGGUCGAACAAAAGAGAAAACACACUGAGGCAUUUCCAAUCAAAUCUUUAUAUAUCUAACAGAAGGUAUUUUACUGUAAGAAAUCUGUAGACAAAUUGUACUGCAAAAUGCAAAUUCUUUCAAAAUGUGUUAAUCCAUCUGAAUGAGGUACAGUGUUUAUUCUCUGUUCCAUCAAACCUUGUCUAUUUUCUUUGAUCACAUUUUAAAAGUCGUAUCAAGUCUUGAAAUAAAUAGGAAUGAAGUAUAAAACAAAUCUUUUUCUAGUUCGUUCCGAAAACAAAGCAAUUCAGUUUAGCAAGAGAAGCUACUCCUAAGCAUAUUUCAUUGCAGCAGUUUUGAUGAUAAGCAGAAGCCAGCCGAUCCAAGUGCAUUUUGUUUUUUUCACUUCCACCUAAAAAACACAAAGGAACACAGAUAAUUUUCAGGAAUAAUAAACAAAUUGUUGCGGCUUGAUAGCAUGUAAGAGGACUGUUGGGGCUUAGCAGUGGUAUAUGUGCCAAUUAUGUUUAUUGUUCUGGCAUGGCUGAAGCUUCAUCCGCCCCUGGUUCUGCUGCUGCUUCUGCCUCAUUCAUCAUUUCUUUGUA
Long non-coding RNA from Pleuronectes platessa (European plaice), 1178 nucleotides. RefSeq lists it as uncharacterized. NCBI's taxonomy places the organism in Eukaryota, Metazoa, Chordata, Actinopteri, Pleuronectiformes, Pleuronectidae. The record is from RefSeq and is a predicted model, not a curated record. The transcript has 2 exons.